CCGGUACAAGAUCUGGGGCAAACGCUCUGCUGGUCGAAAGCGGAUGCAGGAAGGUUUACAACUUUGCCUGCCAGAGCUUAUAUAUCUAGUUGCGCUUUCCCUACUCGGAUUGUGCAAUGGCGCAUGCUAGAUCCACGAAAGUGAUAUGAGGUAUGUAUAAAGAUUGCUAGGAAAGGUCUGACUCUUUCCACACUUUCCUAUGGUUUAACCGAGAGAUAGGAUGCCCUUCGGAGAUUGCAAAAGCGACCGGGCUGUGAGGUUGAGUUUUUGAGCUAUCACUUUCCUCACUCAGUCUUAAUCUAUGCGAAUAUAGAGUAAGGGCUUGGGGGUGAUGGGAAUAGGAUUGAGGUUCCUUUAGCUUAAAUUCCUUCGGGAAGGGGGGAAGAUAGUAAUGUGUACUGCCUGCAACUGUGGACCCAGGGAAGCUAGAGCGACACUAGGAGGAUUCUUUGAUCCCUACUAGCACACUAGAAUUCACGCGAGAGUCAGUACUCCUGGGGUUCGCCGUCGAUUUCUUGCUCAGAACCUCUCUGUGCGACGUAAUAAUUGCAUCCCAAAAGAUUCUCUUCAGAAAAGAGAACUAAGGCGAAAACCAGAAAAUCUCGGGAGGAGGGUCGGUUUGCCGGUUUGAGCAAUCCCCCAAGUUCGGCAAUUUCGGCAACGUGUUGGAUCGUUCAGAAUACAGGA
Molecule: small RNA, 687 nt
Filed under: Histoplasma capsulatum var. duboisii H88
Lineage: Eukaryota; Fungi; Ascomycota; Eurotiomycetes; Onygenales; Ajellomycetaceae
Description: Histoplasma capsulatum H88 hypothetical RNA
Source: RNAcentral